This 335-nucleotide small RNA is filed under the name uncultured bacterium. RNAcentral's name for it is "bacterial SSU rRNA". It matches the Rfam family "Bacterial small subunit ribosomal RNA", at positions 33 to 358 of the family's 1533-position model. The record is from RNAcentral.
ACGCUGGCUCCGUGCCUAAUACAUGCGAGUCGAGCGAAUCUCGAGGGGCUUGCCCCUUGAGAUUAGCGGCGGACGGGUGAGUAACACGUGGGCAACCUGCCUAUAAGACUGGGAUAACUUCGGGAAACCGGAGCUAAUACCGGAUCAUUCUUUUCUACACAUGUAGAAAAGCUGAAAGACGGUUUACGCUGUCACUUAUAGAUGGGCCCGCGGCGCAUUAGCUAGUUGGUGAGGUAACGGCUCACCAAGGCCACGAUGCGUAGCCGACCUGAGAGGGUGAUCGGCCACACUGGGACUGAGACACGGCCCAGACUCCUACGGGAGGCAGCAGUGGG